RNAcentral lists this ribosomal RNA (750 nucleotides) under uncultured bacterium. RNAcentral describes it as "bacterial SSU rRNA". It matches the Rfam family "Bacterial small subunit ribosomal RNA", at positions 40 to 752 of the family's 1533-position model. The record is from RNAcentral.
UGGGGAAGCCAUAACUGCAGUCGAGCGAGCUUGCCUAGAUGAUUUUAGUGCUUGCACUAAAUGAAACUAGAUACAAGCGACCGUAAGACGGGUGAGUAACACGUGGGUAACCUGCCCAAGAGCCUGGAAUAACACCUGGAAACAGAUGCUAAUACCGGAUAACAACACUAGACGCAUGUCUAGAGUUUGAAAGAUGGUUCUGCUAUCACUCUUGGAUGGACCUGCGGUGCAUUAGCUAGUUGGUAAGGUAACGGCUUACCAAGGCAAUGAUGCAUAGCCGAGUUGAGAGACUGAUCGGCCACAUUGGGACUGAGACACGGCCCAAACUCCUACGGGAGGCAGCAGUAGGGAAUCUUCCACAAUGGACGAAAGUCUGAUGGAGCAACGCCGCGUGAGUGAAGAAGGGUUUCGGCUCGUAAAGCUCUGUUGGUAGUGAAGAAAGAUAGAGGUAGUAACUGGCCUUUAUUUGACGGUAAUUACUUAGAAAGUCACGGCUAACUACGUGCCAGCAGCCGCGGUAAUACGUAGGUGGCAAGCGUUGUCCGGAUUUAUUGGGCGUAAAGCGAGUGCAGGCGGUUCAAUAAGUCUGAUGUGAAAGCCUUCGGCUCAACCGGAGAAUUGCAUCAGAAACUGUUGAACUUGAGUGCAGAAGAGGAGAGUGGAACUCCAUGUGUAGCGGUGGAAUGCGUAGAUAUAUGGAAGAACACCAGUGGCGAAGGCGGCUCUCUGGUCUGCAACUGACGCUGAGGC